AUUGAACGCUGGCGGCAUGCCUUACACAUGCAAGUCGAACGGUAACAGGUCUUCAGAUGCUGACGCGUGGCGAACGGGUGAGUAAUACAUCCGAACGUGCCUAGUAGUGGGGGAUAACUACUCGAAAGAGUGGCUAAUACCGCAUGAGAUCUACGGAUGAAUGCAGGGGAUCGCCAGACCUUGUGCUACUAGAGCGGCCGAUGGCCGACUAGGUAGUGGGUGGGAUAAAAGCUUACCAAGCCGACGAUCUGUAGCUGGUCUGAGAGGACGAUCAGGCACACUGGGACUGAGACACGGCCCAGACGCCUACGGGAGGCAGCAGUGGGGAAUUUUGGACAAUGGGCGCAUGCCUGAUCCAGCAAUGCCGCGUGCAGGAUGAAGGCCUUCGGGUUGUAAACUGCUUUUGUACGGAACGAAAAGCCCCGGGUUAAUACCCUGGGGUCAUGACGGUACCGUAAGAAUAAGCACCGGCUAACUACGUGCCAGCCGCCGCCGUAA
Molecule: ribosomal RNA, 498 nt
Filed under: uncultured bacterium
Lineage: Bacteria
Description: partial 16S ribosomal RNA
Rfam family: Bacterial small subunit ribosomal RNA
Source: RNAcentral